RNAcentral lists this ribosomal RNA (468 nucleotides) under uncultured bacterium. RNAcentral's name for it is "partial 16S ribosomal RNA". It matches the Rfam family "Bacterial small subunit ribosomal RNA", at positions 28 to 507 of the family's 1533-position model. The record is from RNAcentral.
GACGAACGCUGGCGGCGUGCUUAACACAUGCCAGUCGAACGGAAAGGCCCUGCUUUUGUGGGGUGCUCGAGUGGCGAACGGGUGAGUAACACGUGAGUAACCUGCCCUUGACUUUGGGAUAACUUCAGGAAACUGGGGCUAAUACCGGAUAGGAGCUCCUGCUGCAUGGUGGGGGUUGGAAAGUUUCGGCGGUUGGGGAUGGACUCGCGGCCUAUCAGCCUGUUGGUGGGGUAGUGGCUUACCAAGGCUUUGACGGGUAGCCGGCCUGAGAGGGUGACCGGCCACAUUGGGACUGAGAUACGGCCCAGACUCCUACGGGAGGCAGCAGUGGGGAAUAUUGCACAAUGGGCGGAAGCCUGAUGCAGCAACGCCGCGUGCGGGAUGACGGCCUUCGGGUUGUAAACCGCUUUCGCCUGUGACGAAGCGUGAGUGACGGUAAUGGGUAAAGAAGCACCGGCUAACUACGUG